GACGAACGCUGGCGGCGUGCCUAAUACAUGCAAGUUGAGCGAUGAAGCUUGGUGCUUGCACCAAUUUGAAGAGCAGCGAACGGGUGAGUAACGCGUGGGGAAUCUGCCUUUGAGCGGGGGACAACAUUUGGAAACGAAUGCUAAUACCGCAUAACAACUUUAAACAUAAGUUUUAAGUUUGAAAGAUGCAAUUGCAUCACUCAAAGAUGAUCCCGCGUUGUAUUAGCUAGUUGGUGAGGUAAAGGCUCACCAAGGCGAUGAUACAUAGCCGACCUGAGAGGGUGAUCGGCCACAUUGGGACUGAGACACGGCUCAAACUCCUACGGGAGGCAGCAGUAGGGAAUCUUCGGCAAUGGACGAAAGGCUGACCGAGCAACGCCGCGUGAGUGAAGAAGGUUUUCGGAUCGUAAAACUCUGUUGGUAGAGAAGAACGUUGGUGAGAGUGGAAAGCUCAUCAAGUGACGGUAACUACCCAGAAAGGGACGGCUAACUACGUG
Molecule: ribosomal RNA, 497 nt
Filed under: uncultured bacterium
Lineage: Bacteria
Description: partial 16S ribosomal RNA
Rfam family: Bacterial small subunit ribosomal RNA
Source: RNAcentral